RNAcentral lists this ribosomal RNA (448 nucleotides) under uncultured bacterium. RNAcentral describes it as "bacterial SSU rRNA". It matches the Rfam family "Bacterial small subunit ribosomal RNA", at positions 329 to 794 of the family's 1533-position model. The record is from RNAcentral.
GUCCAGACUCCUACGGGAGGCAGCAGUGGGGAAUAUUGCACAAUGGGGGAAACCCUGAUGCAGCGACGCCGCGUGAGCGAUGAAGUAUUUCGGUAUGUAAAGCUCUAUCAGCAGGGAAGAAGAUGACGGUACCUGACUAAGAAGCCCCGGCUAACUACGUGCCAGCAGCCGCGGUAAUACGUAGGGGGCAAGCGUUAUCCGGAUUUACUGGGUGUAAAGGGAGCGUAGACGGCGAUGCAAGCCAGAUGUGAAAGCCCGGGGCUCAACCCCGGGACUGCAUUUGGAACUGUGUGGCUGGAGUGUCGGAGAGGCAGGCGGAAUUCCUAGUGUAGCGGUGAAAUGCGUAGAUAUUAGGAGGAACACCAGUGGCGAAGGCGGCCUGCUGGACGAUGACUGACGUUGAGGCUCGAAAGCGUGGGGAGCAAACAGGAUUAGAUACCCCAGUAUA